This 1398-nucleotide ribosomal RNA is filed under the name uncultured bacterium. RNAcentral's name for it is "bacterial SSU rRNA". It matches the Rfam family "Bacterial small subunit ribosomal RNA". The record is from RNAcentral.
CCUUAGAGUUUGAUCCUGGCUCAGGAUGAACGCUGGCGGCGUGCUUAACACAUGCAAGUCGAACGGGGGUUACUUUGUGGAGAUCUUCGGAUCAAAGCGAUUUAACUCGAGUGGCGGACGGGUGAGUAACACGUGAGUAACCUGCCUUUCGCUGGGGAAUAACUGUGGGAAACCAUGGCUAAUACCGCAUGUUGUGCAUGACAGGCAUCUGUUGUGUAUGAAAGGAGUAAUCCGGCAGAAGAUGGGCUCGCGUCUGAUUAGCUGGUUGGUGGGGUAACGGCCCACCAAGGCGACGAUCAGUAGCCGAGCUGAGAGGCUGAACGGCCACACUGGGACUGAGACACGGCCCACACUCCUACGGGAGGCAGCAGUGGGGAAUAUUGGGCAAUGGGGGAAACCCUGACCCAGCAACGCCGCGUGAAGGAAGAAGGUUUUCGGAUUGUAAACUUCUGUCCUCAGGGACGAAACAAAUGACGGUACCUGAGGAGGAAGCCCCGGCUAACUACGUGCCAGCAGCCGCGGUAAUACGUAGGGGGCGAGCGUUGUCCGGAAUUACUGGGCGUAAAGGGAGCGCAGGCGGUCUUUUAAGUAGGAUGUGAAAUACCCGGGCUUAACCUGGGGGGUGCAUCCUAAACUGGGGGACUUGAGUGUGGGAGAGGAAAGUGGAAUUCCUAGUGUAGCGGUGAAAUGCGUAGAUAUUAGGAGGAACACCAGUGGCGAAGGCGACUUUCCGGACCACAACUGACGCUGAGGCUCGAAAGCGUGGGGAGCAAACAGGUUUAGAUACCCUGGUAGUCCGCACAGUAAACGAUGUGCACUAGGUGUCGGGCAGUCAAUGUUCGGUACCGCAGCAAACGCGUUAAGUGCCCCCCCCGGGGAGAUUCCCGCCAGGGGGAAACUCAAAGGAAUGGACGGGGGCCUGCACAAGCGGUGGAGCAUGUGGUUUAAUUCGAUGAUACGCGAGAAACCUUACCAGGGACUUGACAUGGACAGGAAUGGUCGUGAAAGCGAUCAGCUUUUCGGAGUCUGUUCACAGGUGCUGCAUGGCUGUCGUCAGCUCGUGCUGUGAAGUGUUGGGUUAAGUCCCGCAACGAGCGCAACCCCUGCUGUCUGUUGCUACCAAGUAAAGUUGGGCACUCAGACGGGACCGCCGGUGACAAACCGGAGGAAGGUGGGGACGACGUCAAGUCAUCAUGGCCCUUAUGUCCUGGGCUACACACGUGCUACAAUGGCCGGUACAGAGCGCAGCGAAGCCGAGAGGCCAAGCGAAUCGCAAAAAGCCGGUCCCAGUACGGAUUGGAGUCUGCAACUCGACUCCAUGAAGUUGGAAUCGCUAGUAAUCGCGCAUCAGCAUGGCGCGAUGAAUCCGUUCCCAGGCCUUGUACACACCGCCCGUCA